RNAcentral lists this ribosomal RNA (253 nucleotides) under uncultured bacterium. RNAcentral's name for it is "partial 16S ribosomal RNA". It matches the Rfam family "Bacterial small subunit ribosomal RNA", at positions 524 to 776 of the family's 1533-position model. The record is from RNAcentral.
UACGUAGGGUGCAAGCGUUGUCCGGAAUUAUUGGGCGUAAAGAGCUCGUAGGCGGUUUGUCGCGUCUGCUGUGAAAACUCGGGGCUUAACCCCGGGCCUGCAGUGGGUACGGGCAGACUAGAGUGCGGUAGGGGAGACUGGAAUUCCUGGUGUAGCGGUGAAAUGCGCAGAUAUCAGGAGGAACACCGAUGGCGAAGGCAGCUCGCUGGGACGGUACUGACGCUGAGGCGCGAAAGCGUGGGGAGCGAACAGG